Molecule: ribosomal RNA, 507 nt
Filed under: uncultured bacterium
Lineage: Bacteria
Description: bacterial SSU rRNA
Rfam family: Bacterial small subunit ribosomal RNA
Source: RNAcentral
CUACGUGCCAGCAGCCGCGGUAAUACGGAAGGUCCGGGCGUUAUCCGGAUUUAUUGGGUUUAAAGGGAGCGUAGGCCGGAGAUUAAGUGUGUUGUGAAAUGUAGACGCUCAACGUCUGACUUGCAGCGCAUACUGGUUUCCUUGAGUACGCACAACGUUGGCGGAAUUCGUCGUGUAGCGGUGAAAUGCUUAGAUAUCACGAAGAACUCCGAUCGCGAAGGCAGGUGUCCGGGCUGCAACUGACGCUGAGGCUCGAAAGUGUGGGUAUCAAACAGGAUUAGAUACCCUGGUAGUCCACACAGUAAACGAUGUAUACUCGCGGUUUGCGAUAGACAGUAAGCCGCCAAGCGAAAGCAUUAAGUAUACCACCUGGGGAGUACGCCGGCAACGGUGAAACUCAAAGGAAUUGACGGGGGCCCGCACAAGCGGAGGAACAUGUGGUUUAAUUCGAUGAUACGCGAGGAACCUUACCCGGGCUUGAACUAACGGUGACGAAUCUAGAGAUAG